This 254-nucleotide ribosomal RNA is filed under the name uncultured bacterium. RNAcentral's name for it is "partial 16S ribosomal RNA". It matches the Rfam family "Bacterial small subunit ribosomal RNA", at positions 524 to 776 of the family's 1533-position model. The record is from RNAcentral.
CACGUAGGGGCCAAGCGUUGUCCGGAUUUAUUGGGCGUAAAGAGCUCGUAGGCGGUUGGGUAAGUCGGGUGUGAAAACUCCGGGCUCAACUCGGAGACGCCACCCGAUACUGCUCUGACUUGAGUCCGGUAGGGGAGUGGGGAAUUCCUGGUGUAGCGGUGAAAUGCGCAGAUAUCAGGAGGAACACCGGUGGCGAAGGCGCCACUCUGGGCCGGAACUGACGCUGAGGAGCGAAAGCGUGGGGAGCAAACAGG